This 367-nucleotide ribosomal RNA is filed under the name uncultured bacterium. RNAcentral describes it as "partial 16S ribosomal RNA". It matches the Rfam family "Bacterial small subunit ribosomal RNA", at positions 338 to 697 of the family's 1533-position model. The record is from RNAcentral.
CCUACGGGAGGCAGCAGUAGGGAAUCUUCCACAAUGGGCGAAAGCCUGAUGGAGCAACGCCGCGUGGGUGAAGAAGGUCUUCGGAUCGUUAAACCCCGUUGUUACAGAAGUAAGGUCGUGAGAGUAACUGUUCACGUUUCUACGGUAUCUAACCAGACAGCCACGGCCAACUACGUGCCAGCAGCCGCGGUAAUACGUAGGUGGCAAGCGUUAUCCGGAUUUAUUGGGCGUAAAGGGAACGCAUGUGGUCUUUUAAGUCUGCUGUGAAAGCCUUCGGCUUAACCGGAGUAGUGCAGUGGAAACUGGGGGACUUGAGAUCAGAAGAAGCAGGUGGAACUCGAUGUGUAGCGGUGAAAUGCGUAGAUAU